GGGUCAGCACAAGCUCUAGGGCCAGGUAAGGGACCUGUCCCUUGCAAGUAAGCUAUGAAAUGGGUCCUUGGGUGUCUCAAAGGUAUUUUUAGGAUUUAUAUUUUGGUGAUGGUAAAUCCAUGUUAGAUGGGUAUAUAGAUGCUAACAUGGCAUCAUUGCAGAUAGAGGAUAUAAAACUUAUCAUUGCAUUUUAUUAUGGUACAUAAAAUUAGGAAUCUACAUAAAGCAAAAUAUGGGCACUGCAAUUUCACCACAUGCAUUAAUUUGUGGUUAGCUUUCUUCUUGAAAAUAUCC
RNAcentral lists this long non-coding RNA (294 nucleotides) under Elaeis guineensis (African oil palm). RNAcentral describes it as "long non-coding RNA (EGUI_LNC074566)". Lineage: Eukaryota; Viridiplantae; Streptophyta; Magnoliopsida; Arecales; Arecaceae. The record is from RNAcentral.